RNAcentral lists this ribosomal RNA (460 nucleotides) under uncultured bacterium. RNAcentral describes it as "partial 16S ribosomal RNA". It matches the Rfam family "Bacterial small subunit ribosomal RNA", at positions 338 to 795 of the family's 1533-position model. The record is from RNAcentral.
CCUACGGGUGACAGCAGUGAGGAAUAUUGGUCAAUGGACGCGAGCCUGAACCAGCCAAGUAGCGUGAAGGAUGACUGCCCUACGGGUUGUAAACUUCUUUUGUAAGGGGAUAAACUGAGACACGUGUGCCUGUUUGUAUGUACUUUAUGAAUAAGGAUCGGCUAACUCCGUGCCAGCAGCCGCGGUAAUACGGAGGAUCCGAGCGUUAUCCGGAUUUAUUGGGUUUAAAGGGAGCGUAGAUGGGUUGUUAAGUCAGUGGUGAAAGUUUGAGGCUCAACCGUAAAAUUGCAAUUGAUACUGGUAGUCUAGAGUAUAGUUGCGGUAGGCGGAAUGCGUGGUGUAGCGGUGAAAUGCUUAGAGAUCACGCAGAACUCCGAUUGCGAAGGCAGCUUACUAAGCUGCCACUGACAUUGAUGCUCGAAAGUGUGGGUAUCAAACAGGAUUAGAUACCCCAGUAGUC